This 465-nucleotide ribosomal RNA is filed under the name uncultured bacterium. RNAcentral describes it as "partial 16S ribosomal RNA". It matches the Rfam family "Bacterial small subunit ribosomal RNA", at positions 338 to 795 of the family's 1533-position model. The record is from RNAcentral.
CCUACGGGCGGCAGCAGUAGGGAAUCUUCCACAAUGGGCGAAAGCCUGAUGGAGCAACGCCGCGUGGGUGAAGAAGGUCUUCGGAUCGUAAAACCCUGUUGUUAGAGAAGAAAGUGCGUGAGAGUAACUGUUCACGUUUCGACGGUAUCUAACCAGAAAGCCACGGCUAACUACGUGCCAGCAGCCGCGGUAAUACGUAGGUGGCAAGCGUUAUCCGGAUUUAUUGGGCGUAAAGGGAACGCAGGCGGUCUUUUAAGUCUGAUGUGAAAGCCUUCGGCUUAACCGGAGUAGUGCAUUGGAAACUGGGAGGCUUGAGUGCAGAAGAGGGGAGUGGAACUCCAGGUGUAGCGGUGAAAUGCGUAGAUAUAUGGAAGAACACCAGUGGCGAAAGCAGCACUCUGGUCUGUAACUGACGCUGAGGUUCGAAAGCGUGGGUAGCAAACAGGAUUAGAUACCCUAGUAGUC